Molecule: ribosomal RNA, 800 nt
Filed under: Salmonella enterica subsp. enterica serovar Thompson
Lineage: Bacteria; Pseudomonadati; Pseudomonadota; Gammaproteobacteria; Enterobacterales; Enterobacteriaceae
Description: partial 23S ribosomal RNA
Rfam family: Bacterial large subunit ribosomal RNA
Source: RNAcentral
AGACCCGAAACCCGGUGAUCUAGCCAUGGGCAGGUUGAAGGUUGGGUAACACUAACUGGAGGACCGAACCGACUAAUGUUGAAAAAUUAGCGGAUGACCUGUGGCUGGGGGUGAAAGGCCAAUCAAACCGGGAGAUAGCUGGUUCUCCCCGAAAGCUAUUUAGGUAGCGCCUCGUGAAUUCAUCUCCGGGGGUAGAGCACUGUUUCGGCUAGGGGGCCAUCCCGGCUUACCAACCCGAUGCAAACUGCGAAUACCGGAGAAUGUUAUCACGGGAGACACACGGCGGGUGCUAACGUCCGUCGUGAAGAGGGAAACAACCCAGACCGCCAGCUAAGGUCCCAAAGUCAUGGUUAAGUGGGAAACGAUGUGGGAAGGCCCAGACAGCCAGGAUGUUGGCUUAGAAGCAGCCAUCAUUUAAAGAAAGCGUAAUAGCUCACUGGUCGAGUCGGCCUGCGCGGAAGAUGUAACGGGGCUAAACCAUGCACCGAAGCUGCGGCAGCGACACUCAGGUGUUGUUGGGUAGGGGAGCGUUCUGUAAGCCUGUGAAGGUGUGUCGUGAGGCAUGCUGGAGGUAUCAGAAGUGCGAAUGCUGACAUAAGUAACGAUAAAGCGGGUGAAAAGCCCGCUCGCCGGAAGACCAAGGGUUCCUGUCCAACGUUAAUCGGGGCAGGGUGAGUCGACCCCUAAGGCGAGGCCGAAAGGCGUAGUCGAUGGGAAACGGGUUAAUAUUCCCGUACUUGGUGUUACUGCGAAGGGGGGACGGAGAAGGCUAUGUUGGCCGGGCGACGGUUGUCCCGGUU